GUGGAAGCGUCUGGAAAGGCGUGCGAUACAGGGUGACAGCCCCGUACACAAAAAUGCACAUGCUGUGAGCUCGAUGAGUAGGGCGGGACACGUGGUAUCCUGUCUGAAUAUGGGGGGACCAUCCUCCAAGGCUAAAUACUCCUGACUGACCGAUAGUGAACCAGUACUGUGAGGGAAAGGCGAAAAGAACCCCGGCGAGGGGAGUGAAAAAGAACCUGAAACCGUGUACGUACAAGCAGUGGGAGCACAGAGCAAUCUGUGUGACUGCGUACCUUUUG
This 278-nucleotide ribosomal RNA is filed under the name Escherichia coli. Its description in RNAcentral is "partial 23S ribosomal RNA". It matches the Rfam family "Bacterial large subunit ribosomal RNA", at positions 332 to 610 of the family's 2925-position model. Lineage: Bacteria; Pseudomonadati; Pseudomonadota; Gammaproteobacteria; Enterobacterales; Enterobacteriaceae. The record is from RNAcentral.